Molecule: ribosomal RNA, 252 nt
Filed under: uncultured bacterium
Lineage: Bacteria
Description: partial 16S ribosomal RNA
Rfam family: Bacterial small subunit ribosomal RNA
Source: RNAcentral
UACGUAGGUCCCGAGCGUUGUCCGGAUUUAUUGGGCGUAAAGCGGGCGCAGGUGGUUUAUUAAGUCUGGUGUAAAAGGCAGUGGCUCAACCAUUGUAUGCAUUGGAAACUGGUAGACUUGAGUGCAGGAGAGGAGAGUGGAAUUCCAUGUGUAGCGGUGAAAUGCGUAGAUAUAUGGAGGAACACCGGUGGCGAAAGCGGCUCUCUGACCUGUAACUGACACUGAGGCUCGAAAGCGUGGGGAGCAAACAGG